GAUGAACGCUGGCGGCGUGCUUAACACAUGCAAGUCGAACGAGAAGUGGAGACGGAAACCUUCGGGCGGAAGACUUUACUUCGAGUGGCGGACGGGUGAGUAACGCGUGGGUAACCUGCCUCAUACAGGGGGAUAACAGUUGGAAACGACUGUUAAUACCGCAUAAGACCACAGCACCGCAUGGUGCGGGGGUAAAAACUCCGGUGGUACGAGAUGGACCCGCGUUCGAUUAGCCAGUUGGCGGGGUAACGGCCCACCAAAGCGACGAUCGAUAGCCGAUCUGAGAGGAUGACCGGCCACAUUGGGACUGAGACACGGCCCAAACUCCUACGGGAGGCAGCAGUGGGGAAUAUUGCACAAUGGGGGAAACCCUGAUGCAGCGACGCCGCGUGAGUGAAGAAGUAUUUCGGUAUGUAAAGCUCUAUCAGCAGGGAAGAAAAUGACAGUACCUGAGUAAGAAGCCCCGGCUAACUACGUG
RNAcentral lists this ribosomal RNA (478 nucleotides) under uncultured bacterium. RNAcentral describes it as "partial 16S ribosomal RNA". It matches the Rfam family "Bacterial small subunit ribosomal RNA", at positions 28 to 507 of the family's 1533-position model. The record is from RNAcentral.